Molecule: long non-coding RNA, 1766 nt
Organism: Malania oleifera
Lineage: Eukaryota; Viridiplantae; Streptophyta; Magnoliopsida; Santalales; Ximeniaceae
Exons: 2
Source: RefSeq, a predicted model, not a curated record
AAGAAGCUUGCUUAGAUCUUUUUUUUGGAAGUGCUCUCUCUCUCUCUCUCCUACGACUCUCUCUCUCUUCGAUUCCAGGUUAGUUUUACGCCGGAUCGACAAACCGAAGCCACCACGACGAUCCUGGCGAAGUUCUCUACAAGUCUGCCUGAGCGGAUCGUCAGGGAAACGAAGUUGAAUUUCAUCCCAAAUCCAAGUUCCAUGGUGUUGAUUAGGAACGUUAGAAAUCAUCCCUAAGUUGAGGUAAAACUUUUUAAGUCGAAUUUGACUUAGUGGUAGUUAUAGAAAAUGUUGUACGUACGAAAAUACUAAACUUUAAUUCUGCGAGUUUUCAUUUUCAGGGUGUUGAGUUGAGAACCUUGUGGGUACGGGGAAGAUUUUCUUAGGGGCUUUUCAGAAAUCAGGUAAGGGGAUAAACUAAGCUAGUUUUGUUUUGAGAAAAGGUAUGUAUAUAUAUAUAGCAUCUGGUUUGAGGAAAAAUAAAUAUAUUUAUAUAUAUGAUUUAUAUUUGAAAAAUACUGUUUAAAUGAUGAUAUGUUGAAUACGUAGAAAAUUUGUUUAGUGUGGCAUGAGUAUAAAAAUGUUGUGAAAUACUGUUUUUUUUUUAAUAGGGACGAUAUGGAUUUCUAUGAUGGAAAACUGGCGUACGGGCCGAGAUAUUUUUAUAUAUAUAUGUGACUUGCCGGCGUAUGGGCCGUGCUAUGUGGAUGAGAUUUGCCGGCGUACGGGCCGUGCUAUGUGAUUUGUAGCGUACGGGCUGUGCUAUGUGAUUUGCCAGCGUACGGCCGUGCUAUGUGAUUUACCAGCGUACGAGCUGUGCUAUGUGAUUUGCCAGCGUACGGGCUGUGCCAUGUGAUUUGCCGGCGUACGGGCCGUGCUAUGUUAAAAUGUGUAAUACCGGCGUACGGGCCGAUGAUUUUUAUGAUACACGUAUAUAUGUGAAAUGAUAUGAUUGAUGUGAAAAUAAAUGAUAUGAGAUAUUUAUGUAUCACGGUUUUAGUAUAUGUAUAUGAUAUCAGAACCUGGUUAGCUUGGUCUAGGCUAGCACUUGCACGGUACCGUUGCUAUGUGUCCAUGGUCUUCGUGAUCAUGAUAUCUGUGUUAACGCCGCUGUACGGAGUGGUGUGAGAUUGGAUGGUCGAUGUGGUUAUUUUCAAGAAGUGUGCUGUUAUCGCCCCUGGUGUACGGAUCAGUCUGGGUAGACCCAUCGGACCUACAGACUACUAUUUGACUUGGCAGUGGUCGGCCAACCAUUGUCAGGUCCAGCCUUCGGGCCACACAACCCAGUCAUGUGGGGGUGUAAUACAUGACAACAGCCAGUUAACCUACCAGGAUUGUUUUAUGUUAUUAUUAGUGUAUGAGAUGAGAUAUGUUUAUGAAAAUGCAGUAUAUUCUGCUAUGUGUUGAUAUGCAUAUGUUUUCCCAUAUUUGAUAAACAGUAUUGAAUAUGUUAUGUAUGGUAUAUGUAGAACACAGAAUACUCAUGUUGCCACACACUGGUAUUAGUUUAUUUCCCUUACUGAGAGGUGUCUCACCCCUAAAUCUUAUACAUUUUUCAAGAGCCCCUGAUAGGAGAGCGGGAAAAGCCCCGUUGAUCUAGAUCAGUUGUUUGCCCUCUUUGGAAGGGUAAGUUUUUGGUAGGGACAGUUAGGUUUUGUGGGAGAUUGUCCCUAGAUUUCAUUUUUGAAAUGUAUAUACUGUGAGAUAGUAAUUGUAGUGACUCUGGUAUGUGUUAUGCACAUUAUGAUGAGAUGUAUAUGAUUUUA